CGAAAGGCGUAGUCGAUGGGAAACAGGUUAAUAUUCCUGUACUUGGUGUUACUGCGAAGGGGGGACGGAGAAGGCUAUGUCAGCCGGGCGACGGUUGUCCCGGUUUAAGCAUGUAGGCGGAGGUUCCAGGUAAAUCCGGUACCUUAUUAACGCUGAGGUGUGAUGACGAGGCACUACGGUGCUGAAGUGAUAAAUGCCCUGCUUCCAGGAAAAGCCUCUAAGCAUCAGGUAACACGAAAUCGUACCCCAAACCGACACAGGUGGUCAGGUAGAGAAUACCAAGGCGCUUGAGAGAACUCGGGUGAAGGAACUAGGCAAAAUGGUGCCGUAACUUCGGGAGAAGGCACGCUGAUAUGUAGGUGAAGUCCCUGCGGACGGAGCUGAAAUCAGUCGAAGAUACCAGCUGGCUGCAACUGUUUAUUAAAAACACAGCACUGUGCAAACACGAAAGUGGACGUAUACGGUGUGACGCCUGCCCGGUGCCGGAAGGUUAAUUGAUGGGGUUAGCGGCAACGCGAAGCUCUUGAUCGAAGCCCCGGUAAACGGCGGCCGUAACUAUAACGGUCCUAAGGUAGCGAAAUUCCUUGUCGGGUAAGUUCCGACCUGCACGAAUGGCGUAAUGAUGGCCAGGCUGUCUCCACCCGAGACUCAGUGAAAUUGAACUCGCUGUGAAGAUGCAGUGUACCCGCGGCAAGACGGAAAGACCCCGUGAACCUUUACUAUAGCUUGACACUGAACACUGGUCCUUGAUGUGUAGGAUAGGUGGGAGGCUUUGAAGCGUGGACGCCAGUCUGCGUGGAGCCAACCUUGAAAUACCACCCUUUAAUGGCUGGUGUUCUAACGUAGACCCGUAAUCCGGGUUGCGGACAGUGUCUGGUGGGUAGUUUGACUGGGGCGGUCUCCUCCCAAAGAGUAACGGAGGAGCACGAAGGUUGGCUAAUCCUGGUCGGACAUCAGGAGGUUAGUGCAAUGGCAUAAGCCAGCUUGACUGCGAGCGUGACGGCGCGAGCAGGUGCGAAAGCAGGUCAUAGUGAUCCGGUGGUUCUGAAUGGAAGGGCCAUCGCUCAACGGAUAAAAGGUACUCCGGGGAUAACAGGCUGAUACCGCCCAAGAGUUCAUAUCGACGGCGGUGUUUGGCACCUCGAUGUCGGCUCAUCACAUCCUGGGGCUGAAGUAGGUCCCAAGGGUAUGGCUGUUCGCCAUUUAAAGUGGUACGCGAGCUGGGUUUAGAACGUCGUGAGACAGUUCGGUCCCUAUCUGCCGUGGGCGCUGGAGAAUUGAGGGGGGCUGCUCCUAGUACGAGAGGACCGGAGUGGACGCAUCACUGGUGUUCGGGUUGUCAUGCCAAUGGCACUGCCCGGUAGCUAAAUGCGGAAGAGAUAAGUGCUGAAAGCAUCUAAGCACGAAACUUGCCCCGAGAUGAGUUCUCCCUGAGACUUUAAGUCUCCUGAAGGAACGUUGAAGAC
This 1466-nucleotide ribosomal RNA is filed under the name Enterobacter hormaechei. RNAcentral's name for it is "bacterial LSU rRNA". It matches the Rfam family "Bacterial large subunit ribosomal RNA", at positions 1403 to 2845 of the family's 2925-position model. Lineage: Bacteria; Pseudomonadati; Pseudomonadota; Gammaproteobacteria; Enterobacterales; Enterobacteriaceae. The record is from RNAcentral.